AGCGUAGGCGGGAAGCCAAGUUGGAUGUGAAAUGCCGCAGCUCAACUGCGGAGCUGCAUCCAAAACUGGUUUUCUUGAGUGAAGUAGAGGUAGGCGGAAUUCCUAGUGUAGCGGUGAAAUGCGUAGAUAUUAGGAGGAACACCAGUGGCGAAGGCGGCCUACUGGGCUUUAACUGACGCUGAGGCUCGAAAGCGUGGGGAGCAAACAGGAUUAGAUACCCUGAUAGUCCACGCUGUAAACGAUGAUUACUAGGUGUGGGGGGUCUGACCCUUUCCGUGCCGGAGUUAACACAAUAAGUAAUCCACCUGGGGAGUACGGCCGCAAGGUUGAA
RNAcentral lists this ribosomal RNA (331 nucleotides) under uncultured bacterium. RNAcentral describes it as "bacterial SSU rRNA". It matches the Rfam family "Bacterial small subunit ribosomal RNA", at positions 568 to 898 of the family's 1533-position model. The record is from RNAcentral.